GACGAACGCUGGCGGCGUGCUUAACACAUGCAAGUCGAACGGAAAGGCCCCCACCUUGGUGGGGGUGCUCGAGUGGCGAACGGGUGAGUAACACGUGGGUGAUCUGCCCUGUACUUCGGGAUAAGCUUGGGAAACUGGGUCUAAUACCGGAUAGGACCAUGGUUUAGUGUCUCAUGGUGGAAAAAUUAUUGUUUUGGUGCAGGAUGAGCUCGCGGCCUAUCAGCUUGUUGGUGGGGUAAUGGCCUACCAAGGCGUCGACGGGUAGCCGGCCUGAGAGGGUGGACGGCCACAUGGGGACUGAGAUACGGCCCAGACUCCUACGGGAGGCAGCAGUGGGGAAUAUUGCACAAUGGGCGCAAGCCUGAUGCAGCGACGCCGCGUGGGGGAUGACGGCCUUCGGGUUGUAAACUCCUUUCGUUAGGGACGAAGCCACACCUUUUUUGGGUGUGGUGACGGUACCUUUGUUAAGAAGCACCGGCUAACUACGUG
This 489-nucleotide ribosomal RNA is filed under the name uncultured bacterium. Its description in RNAcentral is "partial 16S ribosomal RNA". It matches the Rfam family "Bacterial small subunit ribosomal RNA", at positions 28 to 507 of the family's 1533-position model. The record is from RNAcentral.